RNAcentral lists this ribosomal RNA (2917 nucleotides) under Aeromonas hydrophila. RNAcentral's name for it is "23S ribosomal RNA". It matches the Rfam family "Bacterial large subunit ribosomal RNA". Lineage: Bacteria; Pseudomonadati; Pseudomonadota; Gammaproteobacteria; Aeromonadales; Aeromonadaceae. The record is from RNAcentral.
GUUGUAUGGUUAAGUGACUAAGCGUACAUGGUGGAUGCCUUGGCAGUCAGAGGCGAUGAAGGACGUACUAACCUGCGAUAAGCCGUGAGCAGUCGGUAAGAGACAUUACGACUCACGGAUUUCCGAAUGGGGAAACCCACUUAGCAUAAGCUAGGUAUCGCUACGUGAAUACAUAGCGUAGCGAGGCGAACCGGGAGAACUGAAACAUCUAAGUACCCCGAGGAAAAGAAAUCAACCGAGAUUCCCUCAGUAGCGGCGAGCGAACGGGGAUUAGCCCUUAAGCAUCUUGGAAGUUAGUGGAACGGUCCUGGAAAGGCCGGCGAUACAGGGUGAUAGCCCCGUACACGAAAACAACCUUGAUGUGAAAUCGAGUAGGGCGGGACACGUGACAUCCUGUCUGAAUAUGGGGGGACCAUCCUCCAAGGCUAAAUACUCCUGACUGACCGAUAGUGAACCAGUACCGUGAGGGAAAGGCGAAAAGAACCCCUGUGAGGGGAGUGAAAUAGAACCUGAAACCGUGUACGUACAAGCAGUGGGAGCCCUUCGGGGUGACUGCGUACCUUUUGUAUAAUGGGUCAGCGACUUACAUUUUGUAGCGAGGUUAACCGUAUAGGGGAGCCGUAGGGAAACCGAGUCUUAACUGGGCGUCUAGUUGCAAGGUGUAGACCCGAAACCGGGUGAUCUAGCCAUGGGCAGGUUGAAGGUUGAGUAACAUCAACUGGAGGACCGAACCCACUAACGUUGCAAAGUUAGGGGAUGACCUGUGGCUGGGGGUGAAAGGCCAAUCAAACUCGGAGAUAGCUGGUUCUCCCCGAAAGCUAUUUAGGUAGCGCCUCGGACGAAUACUACUGGGGGUAGAGCACUGUUUGGGCUAGGGGGUCAUCCCGACUUACCAACCCCAUGCAAACUCCGAAUACCAGUAAGUAAUAUCCGGGAGACACACGGCGGGUGCUAACGUCCGUCGUGAAGAGGGAAACAACCCAGACCGCCGGCUAAGGUCCCAAAGUUCUGGUUAAGUGGGAAACGAUGUGGGAAGGCUCAGACAGCUAGGAUGUUGGCUUAGAAGCAGCCAUCAUUUAAAGAAAGCGUAAUAGCUCACUAGUCGAGUCGGCCUGCGCGGAAGAUGUAACGGGGCUCAAACCAGGCACCGAAGCCGCGGAUUCACGCUAAGCGUGAGUGGUAGGGGAGCGUUCUGUAAGUCUGCGAAGGUGUAUCGAGAGGUAUGCUGGAGAUAUCAGAAGUGCGAAUGCUGACGUAAGUAACGAUAAAGGGGGUGAAAAGCCUCCUCGCCGGAAGACCAAGGGUUCCUGUCCAACGUUAAUCGGGGCAGGGUGAGUCGACCCCUAAGGCGAGGCCGAAAGGCGUAGUCGAUGGGAAGCAGGUUAAUAUUCCUGCACGACUUGUAAUUGCGAUGGGGGGACGGAGAAGGCUAGGUGGGCCAGGCGACGGUUGUCCUGGUGAAAGUGCGUAGGUGGUGUUUCUAGGCAAAUCCGGAGACACAACACUGAGAUACGAGACGAACACACUACGGUGUGGAAGCCAUUGAUGCCCUGCUUCCAGGAAAAGCCUCUAAGCUUCAGAUUACAAGUCAUCGUACCCCAAACCGACACAGGUGGUCGGGUAGAGAAUACCAAGGCGCUUGAGAGAACUCGGGUGAAGGAACUAGGCAAAAUAGAACCGUAACUUCGGGAGAAGGUUCGCUCUUGACAGUGAAGUCCCUUGCGGAUGGAGCAGUUGGGAGUCGCAGUGACCAGAUGGCUGGGACUGUUUAUCAAAAACACAGCACUCUGCAAACACGAAAGUGGACGUAUAGGGUGUGACACCUGCCCGGUGCCGGAAGGUUAAUUGAUGGGGUUAGCGCAAGCGAAGCUCUUGAUCGAAGCCCCGGUAAACGGCGGCCGUAACUAUAACGGUCCUAAGGUAGCGAAAUUCCUUGUCGGGUAAGUUCCGACCUGCACGAAUGGUGUAACCAUGGCCAUGCUGUCUCCACCCGAGACUCAGUGAAAUCGAAUUCGCCGUGAAGAUGCGGUGUACCCGCGGCUAGACGGAAAGACCCCGUGAACCUUUACUACAGCUUGGCACUGAACAUUGAACCUACAUGUGUAGGAUAGGUGGGAGGCUUUGAAGGCGUGACGCCAGUUGCGCUGGAGCCGUCCUUGAAAUACCACCCUUGUAUGUUUGAUGUUCUAACGCAGGCCCGUGAAUCCGGGUCGCGGACAGUGCCUGGUGGGUAGUUUGACUGGGGCGGUCUCCUCCCAAAGAGUAACGGAGGAGCACGAAGGUUGGCUAAUCCUGGUCGGACAUCAGGAGGUUAGUGCAAUGGCAUAAGCCAGCUUAACUGCGAGACGGACAGGUCGAGCAGGUACGAAAGUAGGUCAUAGUGAUCCGGUGGUUCUGAAUGGAAGGGCCAUCGCUCAACGGAUAAAAGGUACUCCGGGGAUAACAGGCUGAUACCGCCCAAGAGUUCAUAUCGACGGCGGUGUUUGGCACCUCGAUGUCGGCUCAUCACAUCCUGGGGCUGAAGUCGGUCCCAAGGGUAUGGCUGUUCGCCAUUUAAAGUGGUACGCGAGCUGGGUUCAGAACGUCGUGAGACAGUUCGGUCCCUAUCUGCCGUGGGCGUUGGAUGAUUGAAGGGAGUUGCUCCUAGUACGAGAGGACCGGAGUGAACGAACCUCUGGUGUUCGGGUUGUCACGCCAGUGGCACUGCCCGGUAGCUAAGUUCGGAAUCGAUAACCGCUGAAAGCAUCUAAGCGGGAAGCGAGCCCUGAGAUGAGUCAUCCCUGACCCCUUGAGGGUCCUAAAGGGCCGUUGGAGACCACAACGUUGAUAGGUGGGGUGUGUAAGCGCGGCGACGUGUUGAGCUAACCCAUACUAAUUACCCGUGAGGCUUAACCAUACAACACCCAAGAAGUGUUCU